CCUCCGUGCCCAAACGCCGGCAUGUGCGAGGCAAACAGAGCGCGAUUGUUCCGAGCCUGGGAACGCGCGGGCGGGCGCGGGGGCCGCCGCCCGCCGCCCCCCGCCCGGCCCCCGCUCAGCCGCGAUUGUGAUGGAAAUAGGCCUUUCCCCGCAUGCUGUUGAACUUGAUGUUGACUCCUUUUCUUUGGGGUUUCACAUCUCCUCGGCCACUUGUUUUGUGGGAAAAUUUUCUCCCGAGCUCCGGUGUGAAAUUAAUUAAUCGGGGCCUCUAGAUGGCAAUGGGACACAAAAGGGGACAGCCCGGGGAAACUCCGGCAAACUCACAAAAGACACCCCCGGGUUUAGAGCCCUGGGCCGGUGGGACCGACUGCCCUGCCCUGCCCGGUGCCCGAGGUGGGCUCGGCCGAGCGGCUCCGCGGGGACCGGCACACCGGGCGAGGCGGACGUAACGGCGGCUCCCCCCAUCUUCUAUUUCAAAGGCAGCCCCGGGAUGCGGCCGGUUCUACCGGAGAGAUGCGGAGCAGGUGCGCGACGUGCAGUUAGUGGCGUUACCGGUAACGGUGGGAAGUUACCGGGCUGGCGGGGAGCGGCACACCGCGGCAUCCCUCGGGGCGAUGGGAGAGAGGGGCCGGCAUCGGCCGGGAUACCCAGGCUGCGGUUCUCCGGUGGGAACCGGGGCUCCUGAGCCGAGCCCAUCUGUGCUGCCUCCCGCCGAGGAGACCGGCGGUUCCUACGGCGAGCGCCGUGCUCGCACCGGAGCCCAACAUGGCUGCUGUAGUGAAGAGGAGAAAUCCCUGUGUUGCUUUGACCUCUGUGGUCCAGCGGCAUCCCUCACUGGGAACAGGGAUGGGGAGCAGCCAGGCCAGCGUGGGCCAAGCCCUGCAGCACCCUCACCCUCACCAUCAAAGG
Pezoporus flaviventris is the source of this 909-nucleotide RNA transcript. It is a transcript of the gene named basic proline-rich protein-like, with no coding region annotated. NCBI's taxonomy places the organism in Eukaryota, Metazoa, Chordata, Aves, Psittaciformes, Psittacidae. The record is from RefSeq and is a predicted model, not a curated record. The transcript has 3 exons.